Molecule: ribosomal RNA, 359 nt
Filed under: uncultured bacterium
Lineage: Bacteria
Description: bacterial SSU rRNA
Rfam family: Bacterial small subunit ribosomal RNA
Source: RNAcentral
UCCAUUUACAGAGGAUAGCCUUUAGAAUGAAGAUUAAUACUCCAUAGUAUUAUUGAUUGGCAUCAAUUAAUAAUUAAAGUUCGGUGGUAAAAGAUGAGUAUGCGUUCUAUUAGCUAGAUGGUGUGGUAACGGCACACCAUGGCUNCGAUAGAUAGGGGCCCUGAGAGGGGGNUCCCCNACACUGGUACUGAGACACGGACCAGACUCCUACGGGAGGCAGCAGUGAGGAAUAUUGGACAAUGGAGGCAACUCUGAUCCAGCCAUGCCGCGUGCAGGAAGACUGCCUAUGGGUUGUAAACUGCUUUUAUACAGGAAGAAACCGCUCUACGUGUAGAGCUCUGACGGUACUGUAAGAAUAA